RNAcentral lists this ribosomal RNA (297 nucleotides) under uncultured bacterium. Its description in RNAcentral is "partial 16S ribosomal RNA". It matches the Rfam family "Bacterial small subunit ribosomal RNA", at positions 775 to 1067 of the family's 1533-position model. The record is from RNAcentral.
GGAUUAGAUACCCUGGUAGUCCACGCCGUAAACGAUGAGUGCUAGAUGUCGUGGCUCUUAGAGCUUCGGUGUCGCAGCUAACGCAUUAAGCACUCCGCCUGGGGAGUACGGUCGCAAGAUUAAAACUCAAAGGAAUUGACGGGGGCCUGCACAAGCGGUGGAGCAUGUGGUUUAAUUCGAAGCAACGCGCAGAACCUUACCAGCCCUUGACAUCCUGGUCGCGAGGAGUGGAGACACACCUUUUCAGUUCGGCUGGACCAGUGACAGGUGCUGCAUGGCUGUCGUCAGCUCGUGUUG